RNAcentral lists this ribosomal RNA (1040 nucleotides) under Bacillus subtilis. Its description in RNAcentral is "bacterial SSU rRNA". It matches the Rfam family "Bacterial small subunit ribosomal RNA", at positions 8 to 1037 of the family's 1533-position model. The record is from RNAcentral. Lineage: Bacteria; Bacillati; Bacillota; Bacilli; Caryophanales; Bacillaceae.
AGAGUUUGAUCAUGGCUCMKGACGAACGCUGGCGGCGUGCCUAAUACAUGCAAGUCGAGCGGACAGAUGGGAGCUUGCUCCCUGAUGUUAGCGGCGGACGGGUGAGUAACACGUGGGUAACCUGCCUGUAAGACUGGGAUAACUCCGGGAAACCGGGGCUAAUACCGGAUGGUUGUUUGAACCGCAUGGUUCAAACAUAAAAGGUGGCUUCGGCUACCACUUACAGGUGGACCCGCGGCGCAUUAGCUAGUUGGUGAGGUAACGGCUCACCAAGGCAACGAUGCGUAGCCGACCUGAGAGGGUGAUCGGCCACACUGGGACUGAGACACGGCCCAGACUCCUACGGGAGGCAGCAGUAGGGAAUCUUCCGCAAUGGACGAAAGUCUGACGGAGCAACGCCGCGUGAGUGAUGAAGGUUUUCGGAUCGUAAAGCUCUGUUGUUAGGGAAGAACAAGUACCGUUCGAAUAGGGCGGUACCUUGACGGUACCUAACCAGAAAGCCACGGCUAACUACGUGCCAGCAGCCGCGGUAAUACGUAGGUGGCAAGCGUUGUCCGGAAUUAUUGGGCGUAAAGGGCUCGCAGGCGGUUUCUUAAGUCUGAUGUGAAAGCCCCCGGCUCAACCGGGGAGGGUCAUUGGAAACUGGGGAACUUGAGUGCAGAAGAGGAGAGUGGAAUUCCACGUGUAGCGGUGAAAUGCGUAGAGAUGUGGAGGAACACCAGUGGCGAAGGCGACUCUCUGGUCUGUAACUGACGCUGAGGAGCGAAAGCGUGGGGAGCGAACAGGAUUAGAUACCCUGGUAGUCCACGCCGUAAACGAUGAGUGCUAAGUGUUAGGGGGUUUYCCGCCCCUUAGUGCUGCAGCUAACGCAUUAAGCACUCCGCCCUGGGGGAGUACGGUCGCAAGAACUGAAACUCAAGGGAAUUGACGGGGCYCGCACAKCGGUGGAGCAUGGUGAUUCGUUCGAGCACSGCGGAAGAGCUACCAGGUCUGACAUCGUCUGACAUCUUAGAGAWGACGUCCAUCGGGUCAGAGUGAAC